UACGUAGGGGGCGAGCGUUGUCCGGAUUUAUUGGGCGUAAAGCGCUCGCAGGUGGUCCGAUGCGUCGUGCGUGAAAGACCCCGGCUCAACUGGGGGGCGUCGUGCGAUACGGUCGGACUGGAGGCCAGUAGGGGGAUGCGGAAUUCCGGGUGUAGUGGUGGAAUGCGUAGAGAUCCGGAGGAACACCAGCGGCGAAGGCGGCAUCCUGGACUGGUCCUGACACUCAGGAGCGAAAGCGUGGGGAGCGAACAGG
RNAcentral lists this ribosomal RNA (253 nucleotides) under uncultured bacterium. Its description in RNAcentral is "partial 16S ribosomal RNA". It matches the Rfam family "Bacterial small subunit ribosomal RNA", at positions 524 to 776 of the family's 1533-position model. The record is from RNAcentral.